Cucurbita pepo subsp. pepo (vegetable marrow) is the source of this 1669-nucleotide non-coding RNA. The record is from RefSeq and is a predicted model, not a curated record. NCBI's taxonomy places the organism in Eukaryota, Viridiplantae, Streptophyta, Magnoliopsida, Cucurbitales, Cucurbitaceae.
CAGCGACUAGGAAAUCCGCGUAACCAAACAAGGGUCUUACACGAACACGAAGUGUUUAGCGCAGAAAAGCUCCAGGUUCUCUCGAAAUGCGUCUCAAGACAGUGGAGCUUCGGACAGUUCCCACUCAUCGUUCUUGCCGACCUCAACCUUGAUCCUCCAGAAAUGGACGAAGGCAGUUCAGUUCACGUUUCAGCUUCGACUAUCUCUAGGUCACUUUCUUUUUCGCACUCUCUCUAGUGUUUAAUCCGAUUUAGAAAUUUUUCUGGAAAACCGCGGAUCGGUUUGUUUCUUGUUUCAUGAUUGAGAGUAGUUUAGGUUUUCUAUCGGCUUUGUCUUAUUUAACUCGUGGAAAAUAGUGUUGAACAAGUUGCUGAUCUUCUUGUUAUUGAUUGCUUUGCUUGCCUUAGAGACGGUGUGAAGCGUGAGGUUUUGAAACGCGUCUACUCAAUAGAGGCUUAGGUUAGAGAGAGAACAAAACAUUCUUCUAUGAGCAUAUGAAAAUCUCUCCAUAGUUAGCAGUGAGCUUGAACUUGAGUUGUUACAAAUAGUAUUUGAGGUGUUUUUCAAUGGAGGUGGAUCGUAAUAUCUCACAUCGGUAUGAGAGAGGGAACCACCAAGCAUUCCUUAAAAUUUUGAGGGAAAUCUCAUAACCCAAACCUCACGGUGGAUCUCUGUUAAUACAUGGGAGUGCCAUUUCAGUGGACAGUGUUGUCAUCCAUGUUGGCCAUUGUCCCUAACCACAAUGAUUGUCUUGGAAACCUUGGAAUUGCUUAUCUUCAAAGUGAAACAUGGAACUAUCAAAAUCAUCAUUUUUCUUUCGAGCUUCACCUCAAAGUCUUAAAACGUGUCCACUAUAAAAAAGGUUUAGCCCUAUGUCAACCAAUGUCUUGCACCGUCUGGUGACUAACUCUGAUACCAUUUGUAAAACCUCAAGUCCACUAUUAGCAGAUAUUGUUUGCUUUGACUCGUUACGUAUCGUCAUCAGCCUUAUGAUUUUAGAACGCAUUCACUAGCGAGAGAUUUUCACUCCCUUAUAAAGAAUGCUUCGUUAUCCUCUCCAACCAAGAUGAGAUCUCACAAAUAUACAAGGAUUCGUUGAUUUGGUUAAGAAAUUGAAUAAUUUUCUUUGAAUACAUGGAUAAAUUGUUUAAACUUACGGUUUAAUUGUGGGUAGCAAGGGAGGCCGGGCGGUGACAAUUGAGAGAUUGUCACUGAUCAUUUCUAGUCACACGAGAAGAGAAGUCAAAUGAUAAGAUGAUACGCCCGUUUGGCUCCUUGCGGAGUAUAGCUCACAUCCAGUGAAGAACGGAGCAAUGCCCGUAAAGCUCCAGCGGAAAGGGAAGACUUGUCAGGCCGUAUGCCCAAGAGGCAGAAUUCAAGAUUCAAACCUAUAAUGAUGAUAUAUGUCUUUAACAUUAAUACUAAUCUUGCAUUCAUGUAGGGUUCUACGGAUCCUUGCCCUGUUUCUCUUCAGCUGUCAGAAGCCAGUUCUGUCAGAAGCCACUUCAUUGAGCUUCAAAAUGAAGCUUUGAUCAUUUUCAUGGGCGGUACUAUGAUUGGUGGACAGAUACUACUGGAAUCCGAGGAUUAUUUCAUCCUCUUCUUCUGGCACUAAGCCUACCGCUAGUAAAUAUUGUCUUUUUUAAACUUUCUCUCUCGAGCUUCUUCU